GACGAACGCUGGCGGCGUGCUUAACACAUGCAAGUCGAACGGAAAGGCCCUGCUUGCAGGGUACUCGAGUGGCGAACGGGUGAGUAACACGUGGGUGAUCUGCCCUGCACUUCGGGAUAAGCCUGGGAAACUGGGUCUAAUACCGGAUAGGAGCCAUUUUUAGUGUGAUGGUUGGAAAGUUUUUUCGGUGUAGGAUGAGCUCGCGGCCCAUCAGCUUGUUGGUGGGGUAAUGGCCUACCAAGGCGGCGACGGGUAGCCGGCCUGAGAGGGUGGACGGCCACAUUGGGACUGAGAUACGGCCCAGACUCCUACGGGAGGCAGCAGUGGGGAAUAUUGCACAAUGGGCGCAAGCCUGAUGCAGCGACGCCGCGUGGGGGAUGACGGCCUUCGGGUUGUAAACUCCUUUCGCUAGGGACGAAGCUUUUUAUGACGGUACCUAGAUAAGAAGCACCGGCUAACUACGUG
This 465-nucleotide ribosomal RNA is filed under the name uncultured bacterium. RNAcentral describes it as "partial 16S ribosomal RNA". It matches the Rfam family "Bacterial small subunit ribosomal RNA", at positions 28 to 507 of the family's 1533-position model. The record is from RNAcentral.